AUGCAGUCGAACGCGAAAGGCUCCUUCGGGGGCCGAGUAGAGUGGCGCACGGNCUGNNAUAACACGNUAGGUAAUUUGCCUUCGGGUGGGGAAUAACUCAGGGAAACUUGAGCUAAUACCGCAUAAUGCAGCGGCUCGACAUCGAGACAGUUGUUAAAGCGGGGGAUCGCAAGACCUCGCGCCUGAAGAGAAGCCUGCGGCAGAUUAGCUAGUUGGUAAGGUAAUGGCUUACCAAGGCGACGAUCUGUAACCGGCCUGAGAGGGCGGUCGGUCACACUGACACUGACAUACGGGUCAGACUCCUACGGGAGGCAGCAGUCGGGAAUUUUGGGCAAUGGGCGAAAGCCUGACCCAGCAACGCCGCGUGAAGGAUGAAAUUUUUCGGAAUGUAAACUUCGCAAGAACAGGAAGAAUAAGUAGGGGACAAUACCCCCUAUGAUGACGGUACUGUUUGUAAGCUCCGGCUAACUCCGUGCCAGCAGCCGCGGUAAUACGGGGGGAGCAAGCGUUGUUCGGAUUUACUGGGCGUAAAGGGCGCGUAGGCGGCGUGACAAGUCACUUGUGAAAUCUCCGAGCUUAACUCGGAACGGUCAAGUGAUACUGUCGUGCUAGAGUACAGAAGGGGCAACUGGAAUUCUCGGUGUAGCGGUGAAAUGCGUAGAUAUCGAGAGGGACACCUGCGGCGAAGGCGGGUUGCUGGGCUGAUACUGACGCUGANGCGCGAAAGCCAGGGGAGCGAACGGGAUUAGAUACCCCGGUAGUCCUGGCCUUAAACGAUGAAUGCUUGGUGUCUCAGGUUUAUAGUCCUGGGUGCCGUUCCUAACGCUUUUAGCAUU
RNAcentral lists this ribosomal RNA (836 nucleotides) under uncultured bacterium. Its description in RNAcentral is "bacterial SSU rRNA". It matches the Rfam family "Bacterial small subunit ribosomal RNA", at positions 55 to 868 of the family's 1533-position model. The record is from RNAcentral.